This 672-nucleotide ribosomal RNA is filed under the name Salmonella enterica subsp. enterica serovar Gaminara. Its description in RNAcentral is "partial 23S ribosomal RNA". It matches the Rfam family "Bacterial large subunit ribosomal RNA", at positions 568 to 1190 of the family's 2925-position model. Lineage: Bacteria; Pseudomonadati; Pseudomonadota; Gammaproteobacteria; Enterobacterales; Enterobacteriaceae. The record is from RNAcentral.
CCUUUGCUGAGGAUGCGGUUAACGGAGCGAAAGCGACGUUCAACCGCAAAAGAAGCAGAGGGGGCUUAGUGGUGGGGUGACUGCGUACCUUUUGUAUAAUGGGUCAGCGACUUAUAUUCUGUAGCAAGGUUAACCGAAUAGGGGAGCCGGAGGGAAACCGAGUCUUAAUUGGGCGUUAAGUUGCAGGGUAUAGACCCGAAACCCGGUGAUCUAGCCAUGGGCAGGUUGAAGGUUGGGUAACACUAACUGGAGGACCGAACCGACUAAUGUUGAAAAAUUAGCGGAUGACCUGUGGCUGGGGGUGAAAGGCCAAUCAAACCGGGAGAUAGCUGGUUCUCCCCGAAAGCUAUUUAGGUAGCGCCUCGUGAAUUCAUCUCCGGGGGUAGAGCACUGUUUCGGCUAGGGGGCCAUCCCGGCUUACCAACCCGAUGCAAACUGCGAAUACCGGAGAAUGUUAUCACGGGAGACACACGGCGGGUGCUAACGUCCGUCGUGAAGAGGGAAACAACCCAGACCGCCAGCUAAGGUCCCAAAGUCAUGGUUAAGUGGGAAACGAUGUGGGAAGGCCCAGACAGCCAGGAUGUUGGCUUAGAAGCAGCCAUCAUUUAAAGAAAGCGUAAUAGCUCACUGGUCGAGUCGGCCUGCGCGGAAGAUGUAACGGGGCUAAACCAU